UCUGGGUCCAACCUCCCACCCGUGUUUAUUUACCUUGUUGCUUCGGCGGGCCCGCCUUAACUGGCCGCCGGGGGGCUUACGCCCCCGGGCCCGCGCCCGCCGAAGACACCCUCGAACUCUGUCUGAAGAUUGUAGUCUGAGUGAAAAUAUAAAUUAUUUAAAACUUUCAACAACGGAUCUCUUGGUUCCGGCAUCGAUGAAGAACGCAGCGAAAUGCGAUACGUAAUGUGAAUUGCAAAUUCAGUGAAUCAUCGAGUCUUUGAACGCACAUUGCGCCCCCUGGUAUUCCGGGGGGCAUGCCUGUCCGAGCGUCAUUGCUGCCCUCAAGCACGGCUUGUGUGUUGGGCCCCGUCCUCCGAUUCCGGGGGACGGGCCCGAAAGGCAGCGGCGGCACCGCGUCCGGUCCUCGAGCGUAUGGGGCUUUGUCACCCGCUCUGUAGGCCCGGCCGGCGCUUGCCGAUCAACCCAAAUUUUUAUCCAGGUUGACCUCGGAUCAGGUAGGGAUACCCGCUGAACUUAAGCAUAUCAAUAAGCGAGAGGA
This 541-nucleotide ribosomal RNA is filed under the name Penicillium chrysogenum. Its description in RNAcentral is "eukaryotic LSU rRNA". The stretch from base 162 to 314 matches the Rfam family "5.8S ribosomal RNA". Lineage: Eukaryota; Fungi; Ascomycota; Eurotiomycetes; Eurotiales; Aspergillaceae. The record is from RNAcentral.